CAGGCUCCUGAAACCGCAAUUCAGGGAGAACAGCAGCUAAAAUGUGGCAUCGAUUAUCUCCAACUGAACCUGUGUCUGAGGGGGAAGAUUUUCUAAUGGCUGGUGUUGAGGCCUUAGCUGAUGACCUAGAUUUGGAUCCUUUUGAAGAAAGUUUCAAAUCCAUGGAUCUAGCUACGGAUGCAGUCCAAAUUGAUGAGGACCAAGCAAACAACUUACUCAACAGUGUGCUGGGAUCCUAAAGGGAAUUUCCAUCCUACUUGUGUGGCUGAAGGACAUCUUCAACCAAUUUUGGUACAUCUGCCAGAAAGCACAACAUUGUGAUAUGUUUAAUGACAUGUGGGUGGGUGUGCUUCACCAUGUCACAGGGAAGCAUGAAUGGACCCGUGGCAAAUGUGACCAUGGACCACUUGAUGCAACGACCAGUGAUAAAGAGCUCAUGGUGCCAGGAUCUCCACCACACGAGGCUCUUCAACGAAUCAUGUUCAACGGACGCUGGUUGAAGGAUGUCACCAAUCUGACCUUCAGGUAUAUUAAUAACAUUUUCAUAAGCAAAAAAGCUAAAGUGUCAAUAUCAAAGCUGACAAUUUACAUAUAGAAAUGACAAUUGUGGGUGAAAAGGCAAUCAAAGGUGUGAUUCCUAAUAAUCUAUAAAGUUGUAGCUUUUGUUUUUUUACAGGUCAACUUCAGAACUGGAGAGUUUCCAGAACUGCAUUCUCAUGUAAUCUA
This is a long non-coding RNA of Nothobranchius furzeri (turquoise killifish), 726 nucleotides long. RefSeq lists it as uncharacterized. Lineage: Eukaryota; Metazoa; Chordata; Actinopteri; Cyprinodontiformes; Nothobranchiidae. The record is from RefSeq and is a predicted model, not a curated record.